CGAACGCUAGCGGGGGGCCUAACACAUGCAAGUCGAGCGAGAAAGUACAUCUUCGGAAGUACGAGUAGAGCGGCGAACGGGUGAGUAACGCGUAGGGAAUCUGCCCUAAGGUGAGGGAUAACCAGCUGAAAGGCUGGCUAAUACCACAUGAUAUUUUGAUGUCGCCUGGCAUUAAAAUCAAAGAUUUAUCGCCAUGGGAUGACCCUGCGUUCCAUUAGCUUGUUGGUAGGGUAAAGGCCUACCAAGGCUACGAUGGAUAGCUGGUCUGAGAGGAUGAUCAGCCACACUGGGACUGAGAUACGGCCCAGACUCCUACGGGAGGCAGCAGUGAGGAAUAUUGCGCAAUGGACGAAAGUCUGACGCAGCCACUCCGCGUGUAGGAUGAAGCCCUUGCGGGUGUAAACUACUGUUAGAAGGGACGAAUGCCUCGGUUUUGCCGAGGAGGGACGGUACCUUCAGAGAAAGCUCCGGCUAACUCC
Molecule: ribosomal RNA, 479 nt
Filed under: uncultured bacterium
Lineage: Bacteria
Description: bacterial SSU rRNA
Rfam family: Bacterial small subunit ribosomal RNA
Source: RNAcentral